Molecule: non-coding RNA, 308 nt
Organism: Pelobates cultripes (western spadefoot toad)
Lineage: Eukaryota; Metazoa; Chordata; Amphibia; Anura; Pelobatidae
Source: the annotation of a GenBank genome assembly
CGGUGCAUGUCAGCCAAUCUGGGUCACGGUGCAUGUCAGCCAAUCUGGGUCACGGUGCAUGUCAGCCAAUCUGGAUCACGGUGCAUGUCAGCCAAUCUGAGUCACGGUGCAUGUCAGCCAAUCUGGGUCAUGGUGCAUGUCAGCCAAUCUGGGUCACGGUGCAUGUCAGCCAAUCUGGGUCACGGUGCAUGUCAGCCAAUCUGGAUCACGGUGCAUGUCAGCCAAUCUGGGUCACGGUGCAUGUCAGCCAAUCUGGGUCACGGUGCAUGUCAGCCAAUCUGGGUCACGGUGCAUGUCAGUCAAUCUGG